This 338-nucleotide ribosomal RNA is filed under the name Chiasmocleis quilombola. RNAcentral's name for it is "partial 16S ribosomal RNA". It matches the Rfam family "Bacterial large subunit ribosomal RNA", at positions 2006 to 2514 of the family's 2925-position model. Lineage: Eukaryota; Metazoa; Chordata; Amphibia; Anura; Microhylidae. The record is from RNAcentral.
GAGGAUUACACUGUCUCCCCCCCUAAAUCAAUGAAACUGAUCCCCCCGUGAAGAAGCGGGGAUAAAUAUAUAAGACGAGAAGACCCUAUGGAGCUUUAAACUAAACACCACUUACCUUCAACCACUCCCUUACAAACAGGUAAAGAUCGUGUGUGUUUUCAGUUGGGGUGACUGCGGAGCAAAAUAAAACCUCCACGAUGAAAUCCUCUAAUCUAAGAACAACAUUUCAAAGAAUCAAUAAAUUGACAUAAAUUGACCCAAAUAUUAAUUUGAUCAACGAACCAAGUUACCCUAGGGAUAACAGCGCAAUCCAUUUCAAGAGCUCAUAUCGACAAAUG